RNAcentral lists this ribosomal RNA (460 nucleotides) under uncultured bacterium. Its description in RNAcentral is "partial 16S ribosomal RNA". It matches the Rfam family "Bacterial small subunit ribosomal RNA", at positions 338 to 795 of the family's 1533-position model. The record is from RNAcentral.
CCUACGGGUGGCAGCAGUGAGGCAUAUUGGUCAAUGGCCGUAAGGCUGAACCAGCCAAGUCGCGUGAAGGAAGAAGGAUCUAUGAUUUGUAAACUUCUUUUAUAGGGGAGUACAGGUAUCCACGUGUGGAUAUUUGAAUGUACCCUAUGAGUAAGCAUCGGCGAACGCCGUGCCAGCCGCCCCGGUACUACGGAGGAUGCGAGCGUUAUCCGGAUUUGUUGGGUUUAAAGGGUGCGUAGGUUGUAUGUUAAGUCAGCGGUGAAAGUUUGUGGCUCAACCAUAAAAUUGCCGUUGAAACUGGAAGACUGGAGUGUGUGUGAGGUAGGCGGAAUGCGUGGUGUAGCGGUGAAAUGCAUAGAUAUCACGCAGAACUCCGAUGGCGAAGGCAGCUUACUAGCCCAUAACUGACACUGAGGAACGAAAGCGUGGGGAUCAAACAGGAUUAGAUACCCGUGUAGUC